GACGAACGCUGGCGGCGUGCUUAACACAUGCAAGUCGAACGGAAAGGCCCAGCUUGCUGGGUGCUCGAGUGGCGAACGGGUGAGUAACACGUGGGUGAUCUGCCCCUAACUUCGGGAUAAGCUUGGGAAACUGGGUCUAAUACCGGAUAGGACAAUCGUUUAGUGUCGGUUGUGGAAAGUUUUUUCGGUUAGGGAUGAGCCCGCGGCCUAUCAGCUUGUUGGUGGGGUAAUGGCCUACCAAGGCGUCGACGGGUAGCCGGCCUGAGAGGGUGGACGGCCACAUUGGGACUGAGAUACGGCCCAGACUCCUACGGGAGGCAGCAGUGGGGAAUAUUGCACAAUGGGCGCAAGCCUGAUGCAGCGACGCCGCGUGGGGGAUGACGGCCUUCGGGUUAUAAACCUCUUUCGACAGGGACGAAGCUUUGGUGACGGUACCUGUAUAAGAAGCACCGGCUAACUACGUG
This 464-nucleotide ribosomal RNA is filed under the name uncultured bacterium. RNAcentral describes it as "partial 16S ribosomal RNA". It matches the Rfam family "Bacterial small subunit ribosomal RNA", at positions 28 to 507 of the family's 1533-position model. The record is from RNAcentral.